CCUACGGGGGGCAGCAGUGGGGAAUAUUGCACAAUGGGCGCAAGCCUGAUGCAGCCAUGCCGCGUGUGUGAAGAAGGCCUUCGGGUUGUAAAGCACUUUCAGCGGGGAGGAAGGCGGUGAGGUUAAUAACCUCAUCGAUUGACGUUACCCGCAGAAGAAGCACCGGCUAACUCCGUGCCAGCAGCCGCGGUAAUACGGAGGGUGCAAGCGUUAAUCGGAAUUACUGGGCGUAAAGCGCACGCAGGCGGUCUGUCAAGUCGGAUGUGUAAUCCCCGGGCUCAACCUGGGAACUGCAUUCGAAACUGGCAGGCUAGAGUCUUGUAGAGGGGGGUAGAAUUCCAGGUGUAGCGGUGAAAUGCGUAGAGAUCUGGAGGAAUACCGGUGGCGAAGGCGGCCCCCUGGACAAAGACUGACGCUCAGGUGCGAAAGCGUGGGGAACAAACAGGAUUAGAUACCCGUGUAGUC
RNAcentral lists this ribosomal RNA (465 nucleotides) under uncultured Klebsiella sp. Its description in RNAcentral is "bacterial SSU rRNA". It matches the Rfam family "Bacterial small subunit ribosomal RNA", at positions 338 to 795 of the family's 1533-position model. The record is from RNAcentral. Lineage: Bacteria; Pseudomonadati; Pseudomonadota; Gammaproteobacteria; Enterobacterales; Enterobacteriaceae.